This 492-nucleotide ribosomal RNA is filed under the name uncultured bacterium. Its description in RNAcentral is "partial 16S ribosomal RNA". It matches the Rfam family "Bacterial small subunit ribosomal RNA", at positions 29 to 507 of the family's 1533-position model. The record is from RNAcentral.
ACGAACGCUGGCGGCGCGUCUUAAACAUGCAAGUCGAACGGCAGGAAGGGGCUUGCCCCUUCUGAGAGUGGCGGACUGGUGAGUAACACGUGGGUGACAUACCUUUUAGUUGGGGAUAGCUAUUAGAAAUAGUAGGUAAUACCGAAUGUGACCGUACCUGUUAGAGGGGUACGAGGAAAGGAGCUAAGGCUUCGCUAAAAGAAUGGCUCGCGGCCCAUUAUGCUCGUUGGUGAGGUAACGGCCCACCAAGGCGAUGAUGGGUAUCCGGCCUGAGAGGGUGAACGGACACAUUGGGGCUGAGAUACGGCCCAGACUUCUACGGGAGGCAGCAGUUAAGAAUAUUCCGCAAUGGACGAAAGUCUGACGGAGCGACGCCGCGUGGAUGAAGAACGCCGAAAGGUUGUAAAAUCCUUUUAAGCCUGAUGAAUAAGCACAGUAGGGAAUGAUUGUGCGGUGACCGUAGGGCUUGAAUAAGCACCGGCUAAUUACGUG